Molecule: ribosomal RNA, 395 nt
Filed under: uncultured bacterium
Lineage: Bacteria
Description: bacterial SSU rRNA
Rfam family: Bacterial small subunit ribosomal RNA
Source: RNAcentral
AUUGAACGCUGGCGGCAUGCCUUACACAUGCAAGUCGAACGGCAGCACGGGAGCUUGCUCCUGGUGGCGAGUGGCGAACGGGUGAGUAAUACAUCGGAACGUACCCUGAAGUGGGGGAUAACGUAGCGAAAGUUACGCUAAUACCGCAUAUUCUGUGAGCAGGAAAGAGGGGGAUCGCAAGACCUCUUGCUUUAGGAGCGGCCGAUGUCGGAUUAGCUAGUUGGUGAGGUAAAGGCUCACCAAGGCGACGAUCCGUAGCGGGUCUGAGAGGAUGAUCCGCCACACUGGGACUGAGACACGGCCCAGACUCCUACGGGAGGCAGCAGUGGGGAAUUUUGGACAAAUGGGCGCAAAGCCUGAUCCGGCCAUGCCGCGUGAGUGAAGAAGGCCUGGUG